RNAcentral lists this ribosomal RNA (1445 nucleotides) under Clostridium perfringens. RNAcentral describes it as "bacterial LSU rRNA". Lineage: Bacteria; Bacillati; Bacillota; Clostridia; Eubacteriales; Clostridiaceae. The record is from RNAcentral.
GUGACGCAGGAGGAUAGUGUGUGCUAGCUAUUGGAUGCUAGUCUAAGCGUUUAGGCAGUGAGAGUAGGCAAAUCCGCUCUCAUAAUGCUGAGGCGUGAUGGGGAAGGUUCYACGGAACCGAAGUACAUGAUUCCACGCUGCCAAGAAAAGCGUCUAGAGAGAGAAGUAGUGCCCGUACCGCAAACCGACACAGGUAGGUGAGGAGAGAAUCCUAAGGCCGGCGGAAGAAUUACAGUUAAGGAACUCGGCAAAUUGACCCCGUAAGUUCGCGAGAAGGGGUGCCUACGAGAGUAGGCCGCAGAGAAUAGGCCCAAGCAACUGUUUAGCAAAAACACAGGUCUCUGCUAAAGCGUAAGCUGAUGUAUAGGGGCUGACGCCUGCCCGGUGCUGGAAGGUUAAGGGGAACACUUAGCGCAAGCGAAGGUGUGAACUUAAGCCCCAGUAAACGGCGGCCGUAACUAUAACGGUCCUAAGGUAGCGAAAUUCCUUGUCAGGUAAGUUCUGACCCGCACGAAUGGCGUAAUGACUUGGGCACUGUCUCAACUGUAAAUCCGGCGAAGUUGUAGUGCGAGUGAAGAUGCUCGCUACCCGCGAUUGGACGGAAAGACCCCGUAGAGCUUUACUGUAGCUUAGCAUUGAGUUUUGGUAUUGUCUGUACAGGAUAGGUGGGAGACUAGGAAACCAGGGCGUCAGCCUUGGUGGAGUCAACCUUGGGAUACCACCCUGACAGUACUGAAAUUCUAACUGGCGGCCAUGAAUCUGGUCACAGGACAUUGUUAGGUGGGCAGUUUGACUGGGGCGGUCGCCUCCUAAAAAGUAACGGAGGCGCCCAAAGGUUCCCUCAGAACGGUCGGAAAUCGUUCGAAGAGUGCAAAGGCAGAAGGGAGCCUGACUGCGACACCCACAAGUGGAGCAGGGACGAAAGUCGGGCUUAGUGAUCCGGUGGUACCUCGUGGGAGGGCCAUCGCUCAACGGAUAAAAGCUACCUCGGGGAUAACAGGCUGAUCUCCCCCAAGAGUCCACAUCGACGGGGAGGUUUGGCACCUCGAUGUCGGCUCGUCGCAUCCUGGGGCUGAAGUAGGUCCCAAGGGUUGGGCUGUUCGCCCAUUAAAGCGGCACGCGAGCUGGGUUCAGAACGUCGUGAGACAGUUCGGUCCCUAUCCGUCGCGGGCGUAGGAAAUUUGAGAGGAGCUGUCCUUAGUACGAGAGGACCGGGAUGGACUGACCUCUGGUGUACCAGUUGUUCCGCCAGGAGCACAGCUGGGUAGCUAAGUCGGGAAUGGAUAAACGCUGAAAGCAUCUAAGCGUGAAGCCAACCUCAAGAUGAGAUUUCCCAUAGCGUAAGCUAGUAAGAUCCCUUGAAGAACACAAGGUUGAUAGGUCGGGGGUGUAAGCAUGGUAACAUGUUCAGCUGACCGAUACUAAUAGAUCGAGGGCUUGACCAA